RNAcentral lists this ribosomal RNA (253 nucleotides) under uncultured bacterium. Its description in RNAcentral is "partial 16S ribosomal RNA". It matches the Rfam family "Bacterial small subunit ribosomal RNA", at positions 524 to 776 of the family's 1533-position model. The record is from RNAcentral.
UACGGGGGGGGCAAGCGUUGUUCGGAAUUACUGGGCGUAAAGGGCUCGUAGGUGGCCAACUAAGUCGGACGUGAAAUCCCUCAGCUUAACUGGGGAACUGCGUCUGAUACUGGAUGGCUUGGAUCCGGAAGAGGGAUGCGGAAUUCCAGGUGUAGCGGUGAAAUGCGUAGAUAUCUGGAGGAACACCGGUGGCGAAGGCGGCAUCCUGGGCCGGUAUUGACGCUGAGGAGCGAAAGCCAGGGGAGCAAACGGG